AGCAGCCGCGGUAAUUCCAGCUCCAAUAGCGUAUAUUAAAGUUGCUGCAGUUAAAAAGCUCGUAGUUGAAUUUCGGGAUCAAUAUGUUGGUCGUGCCUCGGUACGUACUAGCUUAUUGGUUUCUCCCUUCUGACGAACCAUGAUGUCAUUUAUUUGGUGUUAUGGGAAAUCAGGACUGUUACUUUGAAAAAAUUAGAGUGUUUAAAGCAGGCUCACGCUUGAAUACAUUAGCAUGGAAUAAUGAAAUAGGACGUUUGAUUCUAUUUUGUUGGUUUCUAGGAUCGACGUAAUGAUUAAUAGGGAUAGUUGGGGGCAUUAGCAUUCAAUUGUCAGAGGUGAAAUUCUUGGAUUUAUUGAAGACUAACUACUGCGAAAGCAUUUGCCAAGGAUGUUUUCAUUAAUCAAGAACGAAAGUUAGGGGAUCGAAGACGAUCAGAUACCGUCGUAGUCUUAACCAUAAACUAUGCCGACUAGGGAUCGGAUGAUGUUAAUUUUUAAUGUA
Molecule: ribosomal RNA, 502 nt
Filed under: uncultured Glomus
Lineage: Eukaryota; Fungi; Glomeromycota; Glomeromycetes; Glomerales; Glomeraceae
Description: SSU rRNA
Rfam family: Eukaryotic small subunit ribosomal RNA
Source: RNAcentral